GUGUCAGCAGCCGCGGUAAUACGAAGGGGGCUAGCGUUGCUCGGAAUGACUGGGCGUAAAGGGCGCGUAGGCGGUUCACACAGUCAGGCGUGAAAUUCCUGGGCUUAACCUGGGGGCUGCGCUUGAUACAUGUGGACUUGAGUGUGGAAGAGGGUCGUGGAAUUCCCAGUGUAGAGGUGAAAUUCGUAGAUAUUGGGAAGAACACCGGUGGCGAAGGCGGCGACCUGGUCCAUUACUGACGCUGAGGCGCGAAAGCGUGGGGAGCAAACAGGAUUAGAAACCCUGGUAGUCC
RNAcentral lists this ribosomal RNA (292 nucleotides) under uncultured bacterium. RNAcentral describes it as "partial 16S ribosomal RNA". It matches the Rfam family "Bacterial small subunit ribosomal RNA", at positions 505 to 796 of the family's 1533-position model. The record is from RNAcentral.